AGCAGUGGGGAAUAUUGGACAAUGGGCGAAAGCCUGAUCCAGCCAUGCCGCGUGUGUGAAGAAGGUCUUCGGAUUGUAAAGCACUUUAAGUUGGGAGGAAGGGCAUUAACCUAAUACGUUAGUGUUUUGACGUUACCGACAGAAUAAGCACCGGCUAACUCUGUGCCAGCAGCCGCGGUAAUACAGAGGGUGCAAGCGUUAAUCGGAAUUACUGGGCGUAAAGCGCGCGUAGGUGGUUUGUUAAGUUGGAUGUGAAAUCUCCGGGCUCAACCUGGGAACUGCAUUCAAAACUGACUGACUAGAGUAUGGUAGAGGGUGGUGGAAUUUCCUGUGUAGCGGUGAAAUGCGUAGAUAUAGGAAGGAACACCAGUGGCGAAGGCGACCACCUGGACUAAUACUGACACUGAGG
RNAcentral lists this ribosomal RNA (409 nucleotides) under uncultured bacterium. Its description in RNAcentral is "bacterial SSU rRNA". It matches the Rfam family "Bacterial small subunit ribosomal RNA", at positions 350 to 751 of the family's 1533-position model. The record is from RNAcentral.